UAGGGAAUCUUCGGCAAUGGACGAAAGUCUGACCGAGCAACGCCGCGUGAGUGAAGAAGGGUUUCGGAUCGUAAAACUCUGUUGUUAGAGAAGAACAAGGACGUUAGUAACUGAACGUCCCCUGACGGUAUCUAACCAGAAAGCCACGGCUAACUACGUGCCAGCAGCCGCGGUAAUACGUAGGUGGCAAGCGUUGUCCGGAUUUAUUGGGCGUAAAGCGAGCGCAGGCGGUUUCUUAAGUCUGAUGUGAAAGCCCCCGGCUCAACCGGGGAGGGUCAUUGGAAACUGGGAGACGUGAGUGCAGAAGAGGAGAGUGGAAUUCCAUGUGUAGCGGUGAAAUGCGUAGAUAUAUGGAGGAACACCAGUGGCGAAGGCGGCUCUCGGGUCUGUAACUGACGCUGAGGCUCGAAAGCGUGGGGAGCAAACAGG
Molecule: ribosomal RNA, 429 nt
Filed under: Gemmatimonadota bacterium
Lineage: Bacteria; Pseudomonadati; Gemmatimonadota
Description: Gemmatimonadetes bacterium partial 16S ribosomal RNA
Rfam family: Bacterial small subunit ribosomal RNA
Source: RNAcentral